RNAcentral lists this non-coding RNA (25 nucleotides) under Rattus norvegicus (Norway rat). The record is from RNAcentral. Lineage: Eukaryota; Metazoa; Chordata; Mammalia; Rodentia; Muridae.
UCUGCUCUGCACACUGGCACCCAAG